GGGCCCUACUAGAAGUGGUCAUGCAGUCGAGCGGAACGAUCCCAGCUUGCUGGGAGGCGUCGAGCGGCGGACGGGUGAGUAAUGCAUAGGAAUCUGCCCGGUAGUGGGGGAUAACUUGAGGAAACUCAAGCUAAUACCGCAUACGCCCUACGGGGGAAAGCAGGGGCUCUUCGGACCUUGCGCUAUCGGAUGAGCUUAUGUCGGAUUAGCUGGUUGGUGAGGUAAUGGCUCACCAAGGCGACGAUCCGUAGCUGGUCUGAGAGGAUGAUCAGCCACAUCGGGACUGAGACACGGCCCGAACUCCUACGGGAGGCAGCAGUGGGGAAUAUUGGACAAUGGGCGAAAGCCUGAUCCAGCCAUGCCGCGUGUGUGAAGAAGGCCCUCGGGUUGUAAAGCACUUUCAGUGAGGAAGAAGGCUUGUCGGUUAAUACCCGACAGGAAGGACAUCACUCACAGAAGAAGCACCGGCUAACUCCGUGCCAGCAGCCGCGGUAAUACGGAGGGUGCAAGCGUUAAUCGGAAUUACUGGGCGUAAAGCGUGCGUAGGCGGCUUGGUAAGCCGGUUGUGAAAGCCCCGGGCUCAACCUGGGAAUGGCAUCC
RNAcentral lists this ribosomal RNA (600 nucleotides) under Halomonas almeriensis. Its description in RNAcentral is "bacterial SSU rRNA". It matches the Rfam family "Bacterial small subunit ribosomal RNA", at positions 31 to 628 of the family's 1533-position model. The record is from RNAcentral. Lineage: Bacteria; Pseudomonadati; Pseudomonadota; Gammaproteobacteria; Oceanospirillales; Halomonadaceae.